Tripterygium wilfordii is the source of this 2483-nucleotide RNA transcript. It is a transcript of the gene named peptidyl-prolyl cis-trans isomerase CYP21-4-like, with no coding region annotated. NCBI's taxonomy places the organism in Eukaryota, Viridiplantae, Streptophyta, Magnoliopsida, Celastrales, Celastraceae. The transcript has 10 exons. The record is from RefSeq and is a predicted model, not a curated record.
GGCUCCUAGAGGCUAGAGGCUAGAGGAAUACUAGGCUAGGCAGUUGAAGGGAUAAGUUCAACAAUUUUCAAAUCGAACCCACCGUCUUCUUCAACCCCGAUGUGGUCAUGAAAACGGAUGGAAAUGUAAAAGCAUUCUCGUUUAAUCUCUUAUUAAACAUCUUUCACCAAACUAUCAUUCUGCGGUAACGACGAAUCUGAUCUGUUUAAGAAGGCUUUAACUGUUGUAAGAGUGCUUCCUUUAAGAUAGUGAAGGUUGCACUUCAUGGCAAGGAUAAAGCCUCAGGCUCUACUAAUUCAAAGUAAGAAGAAGAAGGGGCCAAGUCGUAUUAGUGCAACAACAAUAGUUCUUUGCACUUCCAUUGUUGCGUUAAUCAUAUUGCUUUUUACAACUUACAGGCAUUGGUCGAGAAGGUCAAGGGACCAAAUAGGGACCACACAAUCUGUUUUUGAGGACACUAAUGCUUUCAUAGAUUCAAAGAAGUACGACAUUCCUGGUUUUGUUAUUCUGGAUACAUCAAAAGGUCAAGUAGUGGUGGAACUUUUCAAGGAUGGCUCUCCCCAGAUUGUUGACAAGUUCAUUGAUUUGUGUCAAAAAGGGUAUUUUAAGGGGAUGCCUUUUAAUCAUGUGAUCAAGAAUUUUGUGAUUCAUGGAGGAAAUUCUGAAGGGCUUGGUGCUGCUGAAGAGUGGACAUCAAAAGGGAAGCUUCAUGAUCAGCUUGCUACAAGCCCAAAGCACGAGGCAUUUAUGCUUGGAACUUCAAAAACUAGCGACAGAAAAUUAUUUGAGCUAUACAUUACAACAGCACCGAUACCUGAUUUGAAUGAUAAGCUUUUAGUGUUUGGAAGGGUCAUCAAGGGAGAGGAUGUGGUGCAGGAAAUUGAGGAAGUUGAUACAGAUGAACACUAUCAACCCAAGUCUCCUAUGGGAAUCAUUGACGUAACACUGAAACGCGAGCUUUAAGGAUUUUCAGAGACGUCAAGCGGAAGAACUAAUGAGUCACUUCGCCAAACGAAUCUGCUCCAAUGACUCGGAUGGAGACUCGCACAUUGAAAUAGAUGAUCCACCACGAAUGGAAGAACAAUCAGAAGAAGGUCCAGUUCUGGCUUUCGUUGAGUACGCAAGAUCCGUUGCGUUUUCUCAAUACGAAGUAGAAGGAGAAGGAGGAUCUUAUGAUAGGGCCUGGUUGGAGUUGGAUCGUGUCUCGGAUCCUUAAGUCUUGUAUUGCUUAUUCGAGCGGUGUCAACUCCGCGAUUCUGCUUUCCGAUCUCGAUUAGGUAAUUUUGGCCUGGUUGGAGUUGGAACGUGUGAUCCUUGUCUUGUAUUGCUUAUUCGAGCGGUGUCAUGUCCGCGUUUCUGCUUUCCGAUCUCCCUUAGGUAAUUUUUGAACUGGUUGGAGUUGGAUCGUGUCUCGGAUCCUUAAGUCUUGUAUUGCCUAUUCGAGCGGUGUCACCUCCGCGAUUCUGCUUUCCGAUCUCGCUCAGGAAGUAUGCUUGCACUUGAUAGGCCAUGUAUUUCAACUUCUGCAGAGAGUGCUGUUGAAGCGAGUGCAACACUACUGCAGAGAGUGCUUUUGUGUCGUUACAUUUGGCUAUUGCUAUUUCCAAAUUGAGAUCAUAUUGAUGAAAACUGCUUUUUCCCUGAUGCCUUGGUAAGAAGCAGAUCCAGAGACUGGCCUCUUUUAGUAUUUUCAUUUGUAAUUACCAUUUUCAAUAUCUUACUUGACUUAUAUUAUCCCUUUUUUUCUUUCUGGAUACUGAAAUCCACUGUAAAAGUUACAUGUUAUAUGAACCUUUAUUCACCUUCAUGUAGACAUAUCUGGAUGCCCCUUUCUUAGAACCAAUCAUCUGAGACCCUUGAAACCUUACUGGGGGUCAUGUUAGCCCUCUUCUAGAUACAAUAGCUUGUAGUGUUAGCAUUCAAGAUUAUAUUUCUGUUGACAAUCUUUUCUAGUUGUUUUUUUGUCCUACGUGUGCUCAUAUCUUUUCUAGAUACCCGUACGCUUGAAACUGCUGUGAACCUCUAACUUAGUUCUCUAUACAAUGAGCCGUCUUCUACAUACCAUAGCUUGUAGCAUUGGCAUUUAAUAUUCUAUUUCGACUGACAACCUUAGAUGAUGAAAUUCAACUUUGGAAGUACAAGAUUGCCGAGCUCUAUUUUUUAUUCAUAAGUUAUAUAUAUGUUGUGUUACAUGUAAAUCAUUAUGACUGGCGGAAGUAGUUAUUUGGAUAUGGAUAUGCCUCACAGAUUUUUUUCACAAUAUAGUGUUAGCCUUGAAAAUCAAUUUACCAUUUUUGUCAAAUUUAUUUUGCUGAAAAUUUUUGUGGGUAUUACGUCCAGGGGUUGUUGAAGUCGUUCUUGUUAGCUUUAGCUGCUUAUGCUGUUGUCCAUUUCCAACUUCUUAUUUUCUAAUUGUCCCCAACCUCACUUGUUCAAAUUUUUGAGAAUGACUAGAUAGAUUCUUAGUAACUUUUCUCACUUGG